UGAGUAGACUAUGCGAUAGAGUGGCUCCUUAUCAGAGUCAUUAGGAAAGUCCGGGCAUCACAGAGCAGGAUAGCAGAUUACUACUGCCGAGGGCGACCUCAGGGAAAGUGCAACAGAAAUAUACCGCCUGAUUUUUCAGGUAAGGAUGGAAAGGCGAGGUAAGAGCUCACCGUGAUGCGUGAGAGCGCAUUGACGUGUAAACCCUGUCCGAUGCAACGCCGGUUGGUAUAAUAUGUCUUAACGUCUGCUCGGCGGGCAUAUUACAAAGGCGGCUUAGAUAGAUUAUCGCACACGACAGAACUCGGCUUAUCGGUCUGCUCAUACC
RNAcentral lists this RNase P RNA (325 nucleotides) under Oscillospiraceae bacterium. RNAcentral describes it as "RNase P RNA component class A". It matches the Rfam family "Bacterial RNase P class A". Rfam says of the family: Ribonuclease P (RNase P) is a ubiquitous endoribonuclease, found in archaea, bacteria and eukarya as well as chloroplasts and mitochondria. Lineage: Bacteria; Bacillati; Bacillota; Clostridia; Eubacteriales; Oscillospiraceae. The record is from RNAcentral.